Molecule: non-coding RNA, 192 nt
Organism: Vicia faba (fava bean)
Lineage: Eukaryota; Viridiplantae; Streptophyta; Magnoliopsida; Fabales; Fabaceae
Source: the annotation of a GenBank genome assembly
AUGCAGAUAAAGUGCCAAGUAACAAUGAGAAUUGUUUUAGAUUAUGUUAUGAUUCUUCUACCGAGGUCUAGAAUGCUCGUGAGACGAGCAGAGAGAAGGUUAAAGAUUCUUCUGCAGAAUUCGAGGAUAAAAAAAUCUGGUGAGUUUUCUGUUAUAUCCCUUCUGUUAGAUCUGAAAGUUAGUUAUACCUAA